UACGUAGGAGGCGAGCGUUGUCCGGAUUUACUGGGCGUAAAGCGCGUGUAGGCGGCUUGGUUAGUCUGCUGUGAAAGCUCUCCGCUUAACGGAGAGAGGUCGGUGGAUACUGCCAGGCUUGAGGACGGUAGAGGGGGGUGGAAUUCCCGGUGUAGUGGUGAAAUGCGUAGAGAUCGGGAGGAACACCAGUGGCGAAGGCGGCCCCCUGGGCCGCUCCUGACGCUGAGACGCGAAGGCCAGGGUAGCGAACGGG
This 253-nucleotide ribosomal RNA is filed under the name uncultured bacterium. RNAcentral describes it as "partial 16S ribosomal RNA". It matches the Rfam family "Bacterial small subunit ribosomal RNA", at positions 524 to 776 of the family's 1533-position model. The record is from RNAcentral.